RNAcentral lists this long non-coding RNA (498 nucleotides) under Homo sapiens (human). Its description in RNAcentral is "HSALNT0339415". Lineage: Eukaryota; Metazoa; Chordata; Mammalia; Primates; Hominidae. The record is from RNAcentral.
UGGAUACAUAAAAAUGGGAGAGAGAAAACAUAUAAGAGUGACUAAUUGUUGAGUUUCCAGGGCUCAAACCAAUCUUGAAUUGGAAUUUCAAGACAUAAAAACCACUGCAGGAACCUGCUGGAGAAACGGCCUCUGGUAUCUCUAUCUGAAAUAUGAUUAUCUUAAGUUCGCAAAGCAUUGUGUCUGCAGUGUGAGUUUGAAAACAACAAUGUUAAGGCAACUUCGCAGCUUCUUAAUCAAGCCCUUCUCCAUCUCUCCGUGUGGUUUUUGGGGUGGUGGAGGUGGAGCCAAAAAAGAGAGGGCAGUUUCCCAGGGCUGAAGAUGCUACCAUGACUCAUAGGAUCUAUGCAAACCCUGUGAGUGAAUUCUGAGGAAGAAGAAUGAGUAAUAUUUUGAUUUUAUUACUGAUGGUAAUAAGAUAGUAUCAUCAGUGUGGUAUAUUCUGAUUACUGAAUUCUAUUCCCUAUUUUCUUCCUGUGGCCAAAUAAAAUUUGUGUG